UUCGAGCGUCAUUUCAACCAAUCAAGCCUAGGUUGGUCUUGGGGUAUGCGGGUUUCCGUAGCCUCUAAAAUCAGUGGCGGUGCUAGUUAGCUCUGAGCGUAGUAAUACUCCUCGCUAUAGAGUCUAGGUAGUGUCUUGCCAACAACCCCCCAUUUUUUCAGGUUGACCUCGGAUCAGGUAGGGAUACCCGCUGAACUUAA
RNAcentral lists this unclassified non-coding RNA (200 nucleotides) under soil metagenome. RNAcentral describes it as "partial contains internal transcribed spacer 2 and large subunit ribosomal RNA". The record is from RNAcentral.